GUUCCAAGCCAUUUAGUGAGGAAGCUGCAGAGAGGUUGGGAGGCGCUUCUUCUCACCAACCGUUCUCACCCAGCACCUCCUACCCGAGGGCACCUCCUACCCUAGGGCUUCCCUGGUGCUGCUGCCUUACCUGGGUCUAAGGUCUGAGGUCUAGACGCUCAGCCGUCAGCCCCGGUGGCCUGGGUUUUGCCCCAUCUGGUCUGCCUGGUGCCCUGCCUCCACCAACGGGACCCUGAAGCGAGGGCAUUGGGCUGUGAGACUUGGUAGUUGAAGGGCUCCAGCCUGGGAGCUAAGCCUAAACUCUCUCCUCCUGGCUUCCAGUGGUUCCCCUGCAUGUCCUCCUCCUGCCAGCCAGGGUCUGGGCAGGAGAGAGGUGGCAGAGUUGCUGCCGCGGGGACAUCUGACAAAGGUGUGGGCAGAGUUAGGAAACAGUAAGGCAGGUGACGUCCCCGGGGAGGGGCCGCAGUAAGAGCUGUUGCCGCCUCGGGCCGGAGAGAGGCACAUGAGGGCUCGGUGUCUGGAAUGUGGAGUGUGGAGCCUUGAGAGAGGUGCCCCCAGAGCUGUG
This 565-nucleotide long non-coding RNA is filed under the name Homo sapiens (human). RNAcentral's name for it is "LHRI_LNC604.1". The record is from RNAcentral. Lineage: Eukaryota; Metazoa; Chordata; Mammalia; Primates; Hominidae.